RNAcentral lists this ribosomal RNA (465 nucleotides) under Vreelandella stevensii. RNAcentral describes it as "partial 16S ribosomal RNA". It matches the Rfam family "Bacterial small subunit ribosomal RNA", at positions 338 to 795 of the family's 1533-position model. The record is from RNAcentral. Lineage: Bacteria; Pseudomonadati; Pseudomonadota; Gammaproteobacteria; Oceanospirillales; Halomonadaceae.
CCUACGGGAGGCUGCAGUGGGGAAUAUUGGACAAUGGGGGCAACCCUGAUCCAGCCAUGCCGCGUGUGUGAAGAAGGCCCUCGGGUUGUAAAGCACUUUCAGUGAGGAAGAACGCCUGGUGGUUAAUACCCAUCAGGAAAGACAUCACUCACAGAAGAAGCACCGACUAACUCCGUGCCAGCAGCCGCGGUAAUACGGAGGGUGCGAGCGUUAAUCGGAAUUACUGGGCGUAAAGCGCGCGUAGGUGGCUUGAUAAGCCGGUUGUGAAAGCCCCGGGCUCAACCUGGGAACGGCAUCCGGAACUGUCAAGCUAGAGUGCAGGAGAGGAAGGUAGAAUUCCCGGUGUAGCGGUGAAAUGCGUAGAGAUCGGGAGGAAUACCAGUGGCGAAGGCGGCCUUCUGGACUGACACUGACACUGAGGUGCGAAAGCGUGGGUAGCAAACAGGAUUAGAUACCCUUGUAGUC